RNAcentral lists this ribosomal RNA (903 nucleotides) under Pseudoalteromonas piscicida. RNAcentral describes it as "bacterial SSU rRNA". It matches the Rfam family "Bacterial small subunit ribosomal RNA", at positions 150 to 1048 of the family's 1533-position model. The record is from RNAcentral. Lineage: Bacteria; Pseudomonadati; Pseudomonadota; Gammaproteobacteria; Alteromonadales; Pseudoalteromonadaceae.
UUGGAAAACGUUGGUUAAUACCGCAUAAAUUUUACGGACCCAAAGGGGGCUUCGGCUCUUCGCCUUUAGAUUGGCCCCAGUGGGAUUAGCUAGUUGGGGAGGUAAAGGCUCACCCAAGGCGACGAUCCCCUAGCUGGUUUGGAGAGGAUGAUCAGCCCCCCUGGAACUGAGACCCGGUCCAGAUUCCUACGGGAGGCAGCAGUGGGGAAUUUUGCACAAUGGGCGCAAGCCUGAUGCAGGCCAUGCCGCGUGUGUGAAGAAGGCCUUCGGGUUGUAAAGCACUUUCAGUCAGGAGGAAAGGUUAGUAGUUAAUACCUGCUAGCUGUGACGUUACUGACAGAAGAAGCACCGGCUAACUCCGUGCCAGCAGCCGCGGUAAUACGGAGGGUGCGAGCGUUAAUCGGAAUUACUGGGCGUAAAGCGUACGCAGGCGGUUUGUUAAGCGAGAUGUGAAAGCCCCGGGCUUAACCUGGGAACUGCAUUUCGAACUGGCAAACUAGAGUGUGAUAGAGGGUGGUAGAAUUUCAGGUGUAGCGGUGAAAUGCGUAGAGAUCUGAAGGAAUACCGAUGGCGAAGGCAGCCACCUGGGUCAACACUGACGCUCAUGUACGAAAGCGUGGGGAGCAAACAGGAUUAGAUACCCUGGUAGUCCACGCCGUAAACGAUGUCUACUAGGAGCUGGGGUCUUCGGACAACUUUUCCAAAGCUAACGCAUUAAGUAGACCGCCUGGGGAGUACGGCCGCAAGGUUAAAACUCAAAUGAAUUGACGGGGGCCCGCACAAGCGGUGGAGCAUGUGGUUUAAUUCGAUGCAACGCGAAGAACCUUACCUACACUUGACAUACAGAGAACUUACCAGAGAUGGUUUGGUGCCUUCGGGAACUCUGAUACAGGUGCUGCAUGG